ACCAAGGCGACGAUCGGUAGCCGGACUGAGAGGUUGAACGGCCACAUUGGGACUGAGACACGGCUCAGACUCCUACGGGAGGCAGCAGUGGGGAAUAUUGCACAAUGGGAGAAACCCUGAUGCAGCGACGCCGCGUGGAGGAAGAAGGUCUUCGGAUUGUAAACUCCUGUUGUUGAGGAAGAUAAUGACGGUACUCAACAAGGAAGUGACGGCUAACUACGUGCCAGCAGCCGCGGUAAAACGUAGGUCACAAGCGUUGUCCGGAAUUACUGGGUGUAAAGGGAGCGCAGGCGGGAAGGCAAGUUGGAAGUGAAAUCCAUGGGCUCAACCCAUGAACUGCUUUCAAAACUGUUUUUCUUGAGUAGUGCAGAGGUAGGCGGAAUUCCCGGUGUAGCGGUGGAAUGCGUAGAUAUCGGGAGGAACACCGGUGGCGAAGGCGGCCUACUGGGCACCAACUGACGCUGAGGCUCGAAAGUGUGGGUAGCAAACAGGAUUAGAUACCCUGGUAGUCCACACUGUAAACGAUGAUUACUAGGUGUUGGAGGAUUGACCCCUUCAGUGCCGCAGUUAACACAAUAAGUAAUCCACCUGGGGAGUACGACCGCAAGGUUGAAACUCAAAGGAAUUGACGGGGGCCCGCACAAGCAGUGGAGUAUGUGGUUUAAUUCGACGCAACGCGAAGAACCUUACCAAGUCUUGACAUCCUGCGACGGUGCUGGAAACAGUACUUUCCUUCGGGACGCAGAGACAGGUGGUGCAUGGUUGUCGUCAGCUCGUGUCGUGAGAUGUUGGGUUAAGUCCCGCAACGAGCGCAACCCUUAUGGUCAGUUACUACGCAAGAGGACUCUGGCCAGACUGCCGUUGACAAAACGGAGGAAGGUGGGGAUGACGUCAAAUCAUCAUGCCCUUUAUGACUUGGGCUACACACGUACUACAAUGGCGUUAAACAAAGAGAAGCAAGACCGCGAGGUGGAGCAAAACUCAGAAACAACGUCCCAGUUCGGACUGCAGGCUGCAACUCGCCUGCACGAAGUCGGAAUUGCUAGUAAUCGCAGAUCAGCAUGCUGCGGUGAAUACGUUCCCGGGCCUUGUACACACCGCCCGUCACACCAUGAGAGCCGGGGGGACCCGAAGUCGGUAGUCUAACCGCAAGGAGGACGCCGCCGAAGGUAAAACUGGUGAUUGGGGUGAAGUAGUAACAAGGUA
Molecule: ribosomal RNA, 1206 nt
Filed under: metagenome
Description: bacterial SSU rRNA
Rfam family: Bacterial small subunit ribosomal RNA
Source: RNAcentral